This 491-nucleotide long non-coding RNA is filed under the name Equus asinus (donkey). RNAcentral's name for it is "lncRNA (ENSEASG00005038152.1)". The record is from RNAcentral. Lineage: Eukaryota; Metazoa; Chordata; Mammalia; Perissodactyla; Equidae.
CUGUGCUGGAGGUCUUCCGCCAUCUACCAAGUUCUGUGCUCUGAUUGUGACCAACCCCACCUCUGCCCUGGCAGGGGUCAGGCCUUCACCCAUAGGAGCACUCUCUUUGCCUUACUUGGCUCCUGCGGAUCCCCAGGAGAGGGCGGUGAUGCUGUCCGCGGUGCUGAUUCAGAGGUUAAAGUUGGCCCCAAGAGAAAGAAGACGUUGACAGCAGCCACCAAGCUCUAAGGAUCGGUGGAGGGGCAGGUACUAUUGCAGCCCUCACAGAUCACUGCUAUCUGUUGGCUCACCUUGCUGGCGUGAAUUAACAGCUGCUCAACUGCUGAGAGGCAAGGAAAGUGUCAGAGAAAGCCAAUGGCUGGACUUCAAGGGGCAAGGACCAUCAAGCCUUGAGAACCCGGAUGAGUACAGCCAAGAAGAGGACAGACAAAGCAAGGUGCCCCCUCUGGCUGCUCUGAAGGGAGCAGGUUGAAGGGCUAGCUGGAGAGGAG